UGGGGAAUAUUGGACAAUGGGCGAAAGCCUGAUCCAGCCAUGCCGCGUGUGUGAAGAAGGUCUUCGGAUUGUAAAGCACUUUAAGUUGGGAGGAAGGGCAGUAAGCGAAUACCUUGCUGUUUUGACGUUACCGACAGAAUAAGCACCGGCUAACUCUGUGCCAGCAGCCGCGGUAAUACAGAGGGUGCAAGCGUUAAUCGGAAUUACUGGGCGUAAAGCGCGCGUAGGUGGUUCGUUAAGUUGAAUGUGAAAGCCCCGGGCUCAACCUGGGAACUGCAUCCAAAACUGGCGAGCUAGAGUAGGGCAGAGGGUGGUGGAAUUUCCUGUGUAGCGGAGAAAUGCGUAGAUAUAGGAAGGAACGCCAGUGGCGAAGGCGACCACCUGGGCUCAUACUGACACUGAGGUGCGAAAGCGUGGGGAGCAAACAGG
Molecule: ribosomal RNA, 429 nt
Filed under: Pseudomonadota bacterium
Lineage: Bacteria; Pseudomonadati; Pseudomonadota
Description: Proteobacteria bacterium partial 16S ribosomal RNA
Rfam family: Bacterial small subunit ribosomal RNA
Source: RNAcentral